RNAcentral lists this ribosomal RNA (808 nucleotides) under uncultured bacterium. Its description in RNAcentral is "bacterial SSU rRNA". It matches the Rfam family "Bacterial small subunit ribosomal RNA", at positions 61 to 859 of the family's 1533-position model. The record is from RNAcentral.
GUCGCGGGGCAGCAUGAUUUUUCCCUCGGGAAAGAUUGAUGGCGACCGGCGCACGGGUGAGUAACGCGUAUCCAACCUGCCCGUCACCACGGGAUAGCCUGCCGAAAGGCAGAUUAAUACCGUAUGUGGUCCGAAGACGGCAUCAGAUUCGGACUAAAGGUUCAGCGGUGACGGAUGGGGAUGCGUCCGAUUAGGUAGUAGGCGGGGUAACGGCCCACCUAGCCAUCGAUCGGUAGGGGUUCUGAGAGGAAGGUCCCCCACACUGGAACUGAGACACGGUCCAGACUCCUACGGGAGGCAGCAGUGAGGAAUAUUGGUCAAUGGAGGCAACUCUGAACCAGCCAAGUAGCGUGCAGGAUGACGGCCCUAUGGGUUGUAAACUGCUUUUAUGCGGGGAUAAACUGAGCCACGUGUGGCUUAUUGCAGGUACCGCAUGAAUAAGGACCGGCUAAUUCCGUGCCAGCAGCCGCGGUAAUACGGAAGGUCCGGGCGUUAUCCGGAUUUAUUGGGUUUAAAGGGAGCGCAGGCCGCCCCUUAAGCGUGUUGUGAAAUGCCGCGGCUCAACCGUGGCACUGCAGCGCGAACUGGGGGGCUUGAGUGCGCCGGAGGUAGGCGGAAUUCGUGGUGUAGCGGUGAAAUGCUUAGAUAUCACGAAGAACUCCGAUUGCGAAGGCAGCCUACCGUAGCGUUACUGACGCUGAGGCUCGAAGGUGCGGGUAUCGAACAGGAUUAGAUACCCUGGUAGUCCGCACGGUAAACGAUGGAUGCCCGCCGUUGGGUAUUUUUAUUCAGUGGCCAAGCGAAAGCG